Long non-coding RNA from Thunnus maccoyii (southern bluefin tuna), 1193 nucleotides. RefSeq lists it as uncharacterized. Lineage: Eukaryota; Metazoa; Chordata; Actinopteri; Scombriformes; Scombridae. The transcript is spliced from 3 exons. The record is from RefSeq and is a predicted model, not a curated record.
AAAAGACUAAAGACCCAGCUCUUUCGCGAACAUCUCUACACUUGAUGAAAUGAAGCUCAGCCUCCUGGUGCUGCGUACCUGGCCACCCAGUGAGAGGGAUGUGUCCUCCACAGGGACCUGAUCAGGGAUUUGGCUUCACCCCAGCCAGCCAAGGAAAGAGAGGGGGGGGGGAUCAAGAGCCUCUCCGCUCAGUGAAGGGGCUCCAUAUGGGAGUGGAGUGAGAAGUCUCCCAGAUCAGCUACCAUCUGGGAAAGAGGACAAUAUGCCAGGAAUAGCAUGCAGAGAGUAAAAGAAAGAGAGGGAGUGAGUGAAACACAACAACAGAAUAGAUGGCUUGAAAAACUGACAGAGUGAAGAAUUGGGAACGGGGCAGGAGAAGGAGAAGAUGGAUUGAUAGGAGGGCUGACAGAAAGAAAAGCAGCCAGUUUAGAGGGAUGUUGUUUUCAUCUGCUCUCUUGGCCCAACAACCAGCAUUUAAGCUUUUCCUCCCAAGGUUGAGCCUCGGUCCCUUGUGUCUUCUCAGUGACAUAUGUUUUGGUUACUAAGAACCAACUGGACCUAUGAAGACCUCUAUUGCAGGCAGACAGACAUCUCAGACACCAAACAAAUCAAACCAAAUAUUCUACAUGGCACUAGAGGUACAUCAGUGAGAAAAUAUUUUGGUUUGUUUGCUUUGUUUUGUACUUUGGGUGAAUCAACCAUGUUAAAAGUCUGCUAAUUUUCCAGCUAAAUCAAUAAAUCAUAAUUACUGCAGUAGUAGUAGUAUUGUUGUUGUUGCUGCUGUUCUUUUUCUUUUGGGGGUGGUUAAUAUUCUUUCAGAUAUUUUUGUGUCUACUCUGAAAGACUCCCUCUUGUUAUAGCUUACACAGAACUGCCUUGGCUCCUGUUUGUAGUAGCAAACUAAUCAAAAUAUUGCAAUGUAAUUGGUGGGUAGUGAUGUGUAGCCUGUAAUUACUGCAGUCAAAGUGGCCUUUAUUCUCCAGCACUAUCUUUGAGGGAUGUGGGAGAGGGUCAGCAUUCUGCAAUCGUGGAUGUUACAGUUUGUCAGAAAUUGAAAAAUCUAUUGUCAUGCCAGUCAUUAUCUCUUUAUGUUACAUAAGAGAGAAAUUCCUGUUUUGUCUUGAGCAAAUGUGACCUUGGUCGGGCAGAGUGUGUGCAAACAAUUAUUUUGUGAUUAUUUUUAAUUUUGGAUC